This 403-nucleotide small RNA is filed under the name Pan troglodytes (chimpanzee). RNAcentral describes it as "processed transcript". The record is from RNAcentral. Lineage: Eukaryota; Metazoa; Chordata; Mammalia; Primates; Hominidae.
AAGAUGAUACUCGCUUUUGGAGUUGGCACUACAAGAUGCAUGAGAAAUACAGUUGAUCCUAGAACAACACAGGUUUGAACUGCAUGGGGUCCACAUAUAUGUGGAUUUUCCUCCACCUUUGCCACCCCUGAGAGAAGACCAACCCCUCCUCUUGCUCCUCCUCCUCAGCCUACUUGAUGUGAAGACAAUGAGGAUGAAGACCUUUAUGGUGAUCCACUUCCACUUAAUAGAUGGCUGCUCUUUUUCUAAAGAGGUUAACACUACAAACUGUAAAGUCUGAAAAUAGUUGCAUUAGAUGUUUUGGUAAACACAUCCUGCAAAAGACAGCACCAGCACAGUUGUCCCCUAUUGCUUCUGCCCCAAGACUCUCCUUCCUAAUUCAUGCAAAAGCCUUUAGUACCGC